RNAcentral lists this long non-coding RNA (1400 nucleotides) under Triticum aestivum (bread wheat). RNAcentral's name for it is "long non-coding RNA (TAES_LNC012248)". Lineage: Eukaryota; Viridiplantae; Streptophyta; Magnoliopsida; Poales; Poaceae. The record is from RNAcentral.
CUAGAGGGGAGAGUAUGAGAGAGAAAGAGGGUAAGAGAGAUAAAGAAUGCAUGCAUGCGCAUACAUGUUUGAAGUGCUAUGGAGAGAGGUGUCGAGCCAUCUGUCUAAAAAAGAAUAUUAGCAUAUGUAUGGUUCAUCAGAUUUUUAUACGACGGGGUAUUACUUGCUGGCCGAAUAUUAUUCUAGAGGAGAAGUCUUAUUUUCUGAGGCAAGUAGCUACUUUACUAACUCUCAAAUCCGUUAUCUUCCUUUGAUUAUCUGAUUGUAUUGUUGCACCUUGAUCCUUAUUGAUCCUCUCUUGAUCCUUGAGAGAGGGAUGUGUUGUCCUCGUAUUCCAUUUGUUGAUGGAAUCAGAGUAUUUUGGAGGAACUCGUGAGAAGUCAUACGCGUAUUGUCUUUGAUUGAUAUUACUGUGAUUCUACUGUUGAUUCAAACACAUAUCCUAUUUUGUAUUGGUGUCACGACGGCAAACAUAUUGUACCGAUCACAUUUCAGUUAUGGGACUGUCUGAGUUCUCCGCUAAGGACGGACCUUGUUCAGGAACGUGUCGAUGAUGGAUCCGUAGGAGCGAUCGACAUCAGUAGGUCCAGGUGUUCGGGUCUUAGUGGGUACAAGAGCUCUGCUCUUCUGGAACCUGUGUGGUUCUAGUCGAGACUGUCGACGUCGGAGUACCCCUCUUAAGAGCGUAAAAGUGUGAAAUUUCACCCCUGUGACUCCCGGGUUGGAAAGCUUGCGGUCAUGUUUGAUGCCAAUAAUUUCCUUGUUCAUUUCGUCUGUUGAUCUACACCAUCAUACCAUCGCUCCUUGUUGAAUAGUGAAGUAUCUGCUUGCUGAGUAUGAUUUGUCGUACUCACCCUUGCUUCCUUAUUUUUUUUAGAUGCGAACGAUGUAACUUAAGUAUGUUCAGAAGAUGUCUUCAUCCAAGACUAGGCUUGACCAGCGGGUGGGAAGCGACUAGAGAAUAUGAUGUCUUUACUCAACUAUUUGUAGAUGUCAAGGAAUUUGUAUAGCAAAUAUAUUAGCUUUUGUGAUCCACUUCUGGUCUAUGCCUGCUUUAUCAUGCCUUGCGUGACUAUAGGCCUCUGGUCUAUAGGCUCGCGGCGGCUGUCUCGCCUAGGCCCGGUCUCGGGGCAUGACAAUUAAAGUGCAUAUUUUGUAGAACGUAAUGUAUCGGUCAAAGUUCAGGUAUGGGACUGUCUGAGUUCUCCGCUAAGGACGGACCUUGUUCAGGAACGUGUCGGUGAUGGAUCCGUAGGAGCGAUCGACAUCAGUAGGUCCAGGUGCAACAAUAAAAUCAGAUAAUCAAAGGAAGAUAACGGAUUUGAGAGUUAGUAAAGUAGCUACUUGCCUCAGAAAAUAAGACUUCUCCUCUAGAAUAAUAUUCGGCCAGCAAGUAAUAC